GAACCCAAGGCGGAAUGAGACAACUAGAGGCUAGAAUCUACCAAUAAAAAUUUCUUUUUCUUCAACUCUCUUUAUUGUUUUUAUUAUUUUCGUAAUCACAAAUUCAAUCAAUUUUAGAUUCUGUUUUUUAUUUUUUCCAAAUUAAAUCUUUAAUUCUAUUAUUUUUUUUAUUUUUUUCUGUCACGUAGGUUUUCUUGGGCACGAUUUUGCCCAAGAUUUUGAAAAACAAGCAUUCAUAUAAUUUGAUCCUUGAGGAUUCGACCCUACUUCCCCUUUACUGUUCUUUUUCAUUAUUUUACAAAGAAUAGGAUUUUUUUGUGCUCUCAACGACCGUAUCAAUAUUUGAGUAGCAAAGGGUCUUCUUCGAGAUGGACUUUGUUGGAGAGUUGGAAGAGGAAAUGAGAUCUCUAUAUGGAAUGAUUGUUGGAUUCCAGGGAUUGAAGCAGUUGGUCGACAAAACAAAGAAGAAAAUGAUGAACUCCAAUUAGUCUCGGAUCUAAUUGAUAGCACAAAUAAAACAUGGAAAAUGGAGUUAGUCAGCAAUACCUUCCAAACGAAAAUUGACCAAAGGAUCUUGUAGAUCCUUCUUGUAGAAGCUAACCAUGAAGAUUUUCAAGUGUGGAAAGAACUUUCCGGAGAAUACUCAGUACGGAGCGCCUAUAAACUAUUACAAUAUGCUAGCUUGGAUCCUAAUAGUUACUUAAUACAGACCAAAAUCAAAGACUUCUAUAGAAAACUAUGGAAUUUAUAACUACCAUAAAAAUUUACAUUAACAAUAUGGCGGAUCUCCUGGAACUAUAUACCUACACUAGUCAACCUUAGACACAAGCGAGUGACCACUAACGUCAGAUGUCCUCGUUAUUGCUCCGGAGAAGAGGAUAGCCACCAUGUCUUUAGACAAUGCCCUGCAAUCUUUGAAGUAUGGCAAAACCUUAAUCUCUCUUGGGUCACAACUCUUAUGAAUCAAAAUAUCUGGGAGUCGCUUACAUGGGUUUUUGCAAAGAGUACUAAAGAACAGUGCUGGACUUUUUGCUGCUCCUUAUGGUUCAUUUAGAGCUCACCGAAUCAGUAUGUUCAUGAAAGAAAAACCAUUUCAAUUAGGGAUCUGUCACAAAAAAUCAGAGGAUACAUAGCAGAACUCGAAGGGAUAUGAGAAAAAAAGCUUACCUUUAAUACUGAAAGAGUUCAUAACCAAAUAGGGGCGAAAACAGGUACAACGAUAUAGUUUGAUACAGCCUUCGACAAAAGAAAUUCUAGAUCUACUUCGUGUUUAGUGGUUCGGGACCAAAUGUGUGAGUUAAAAGCCUCAAAGACGACUCUCCAUUAUAGAAUCUCAUCCCUGUUUGUAGCAGAAGCUCGUGCAACAUUAAAUGCUAUCAAGUUAGUAUUAUCAAUGGGUUUAACUUUAGCAACAAUAAUGGGAGACUCGAAAACAAUCAUCAAAAAAUGUCAAUCGACAAAAGUAGACAAAUUAGUACUUUGAGCUAUUAUUAGAGAUAUUCAAAGUAAAAGAACUAGUCUUCAAGAGAUCACUUUCUAGUUUAUCCACAAAUCGGAGAAUGCUCAUGCCCAUAAACUAGCAAAAGAAGCACUAGAAAAAAGGGAAGAAUCAUACCUGGUGGGGGAAGCGCUGAACCACAGAGAUCUAGUUCUGGAAGGAAGAUGGAGAAGAAAUCCAGAUUGAAAUCGUUUUGUGGUGGAGAAAUGGAGUAGUCAAAGAUAGCAGGUACACGAAAAAUUUUUUGGGGAAGAGCUAUCUAUGAACAGACGCGACUAUUGACAUGAAAAGACGAUAUGAUUAAUGGUGGCCAGGUUGUUCCAUUUGACUGGGAAAUAUCAAUAGGUUUCCUUUUAUUAAUUAUUUCUUUUUUGUAUUCAUUAUUCUGUUUCUACUUUUAUUUAUUUCAGUAACGAGCUAAUUACAAAAGAUAAAUUGUAUCCCCAUUUCCGUUUAUUUGUUUGUCC
This 1965-nucleotide long non-coding RNA is filed under the name Gossypium barbadense (sea-island cotton). RNAcentral's name for it is "long non-coding RNA (GBAR_LNC012148)". Lineage: Eukaryota; Viridiplantae; Streptophyta; Magnoliopsida; Malvales; Malvaceae. The record is from RNAcentral.